This 4847-nucleotide long non-coding RNA is filed under the name Podarcis muralis (Common wall lizard). Its description in RNAcentral is "lncRNA (ENSPMRG00000008680.1)". Lineage: Eukaryota; Metazoa; Chordata; Lepidosauria; Squamata; Lacertidae. The record is from RNAcentral.
GCUUGCCCCCCCCACCUUCUUGCCAGGAGACCCCUGCGCUAGGCAAACAACAAAUCCCCCUUCCUUCCUUCCUUUUUUUUUUGGGUUACAUUUCCUUCCAACAUCAGCCUUCACUACAAAGCAAGGGAUAUUUUGUCAGGUGGGCUGGUGGUUACGGCUGAGCAUCUCCUGCAGGGUGUGUGUGUGCUGAGGACUGCGUCUGUAAUACCCCCCACCCACCCCCCAGAAGGCAGAUACUGUCCCAGGGCGACCCUCGCCUUUGCUAGCGUUGCGUAAUGCGCACAGGCAACACGAGAAAACGGCAGCCAGAACGUUAGAUAACAAUUUUUUUUUAAUAUAUCGGAAGACUGUAUUUAUUCCUUACCGACUCUGAUUUUUCCCCCUGCCCUCCCACCGGUUCUCCUUCAUCUUUUCCCAGCUUGAAAGCAGUCACGAUUCUGCAACCCACCAGCCUAGAGGAGUGGGGCGGAGGUUGAGGGCUGCCUUUGCCAGCCUCUCCCCUCUUCCCCUCCUCCAGCUGAUGGCUGUAGUCCCGGAAGAUCAGAGCUCAACUCCGUUAGGUGUGUGCAAACACACCCGACCCCUUCCACCUUUCCCGUGGGUUCUGCGUCGCCGCAGAGAAACUGUUCGGUUUGCCCAGGCGCUCAGAGCUCAAGGGGAAGAGCUGUUCCGUUACCUCUGCCAACUGUGGAUUAGCCUCAGCUGGGCUAUUACUGGCCACCGUCCCCAGCUCAGUACGGAGCAGGGGAGGGGGGCUUCUGGUAAUUUUGGGGUGGAGACAGGAAGGGGAUUGGGGAAGGGGAUUCGGGAAUUGUGUAGGGCUGACCCUUGGCUUUUGGGCCCCCUUCAUUCCAGCCUCGCAGGGAUUGUUACGCGUUCCGGGGAGGGGAAAAUUCAUCGGGGCAUUUUGACGACUCUCCCGUCUUGAGAUCUGCAGGCUUCGGGGAUCCGUUUGUCCAGGGGGUGGGGAGACUUAACACCGCUUCCGGGGCUUUAUCCUCUCAAGAUCCUUCUCGACCUCUUCCCUGUGACUGAUUUGGAGGGAUCACUCUUUUAGUCCAGGAUAUGCUGCUGGUGGGAUCUCGGGAAGGUCAGGGUCCUCUCUCUAGUUGGGACCUUCCAAUUCUGAUAUUGCACAAGCUUGGUUUCUUGAGAGAGAGAGAGAGAGAGAGAGAGAGAGAGAGAGACAAAGACCUCAAUCUCAGCGGAGAUGUGCAGAAUCUGUCUUGUGGCUCCUGGUUCCCUCCCUUCCUUCCCCUAGCUUGUGCGUUUUACGUUUUUGUCGCCAGAGGAUAAAACUGCCUGGGGGUGGGGGAAUCAGGCCUGAGGGGACCAGCUUUGCCAAAGGGCUGAAGAACUGGGAAAUGGAGAAAUUUGGUGGUUUGUUUGUUUUUUUGUUGCUCCUAUUCCCCGCCCCCCCAAACACCCACACCUUCUUGGGACCUUCCCUUCUUGCUCCCGCUCUGGCAAGGCAUCGUCAUUUCGGCUUUUCCAAACUGAAACGAGGCUGCUUUCUUCCCCUAUCGUGGCCGAAAAGAGAAACCAGCGAAUAUUCCAGAAGCACUUUGGAGGUUCUUAUUUCCAUGCUGACCAUGGAGGGUUUUUAUACAUCCAGGAUUUCCUCUCCACUCGCCCUCCUACCUAUUUGAGCUAUUUUACUGUCUGUAAUUAAACAAAAGAUGUUAAAAUAAAGUAACUAUUGAAAGACCUGCCAGGUUGGGUACAGCCUCAGUUUUUUCCUUCCCAAACGCUUCAUUCUUAAAACCCCAAUCAACUCGGACCCCAAAUAUCUGGAAGAUGGCCCCCUUCCCCACAGGCGUGCUCUGGUGUGUUAAGAUCAGCAGAGGAGGGUACCUCCUCCCUCUGAAGCUCAGGGGGGUAGGUUGGGAGAGGGCCUUCUCUGUGGCAGCCCCUAAAUCAGGGACUCUCAAACUUUGGUCCCCAGCUGUUGUUGGACUACAACUCCCAUCAUCCCUAGCAAGCAGGACCAGGGGUGGGGGUGAUGGGAGUUGUAGUCAAACAAGAACCGGGGACCCAUAGCUGUUGUUGUUUUUAAAAAAACCACAUUUAUUUACAUACAGACAUAAACACACAAACGCUACAUACCAAGGAAAAAUAAUAGAAACAUUGAACAACCUACUUAAACAUACAAAAAGUUAAAAUUACCUACACCCAUGUGACUUCCCUCCACCAGUGCUCGUCUUCACUUAGCCUGUAAUUUUUUUAUUCACAUUGCAAUUUUUAUCUCUGAACCUCUUGUUUUACUAUUGUUUUUUCUAGAUCAACUUUACAAACUUAAUCUAAACAGAUCAACGUGUUGUUUUUGGUGCAGUGUUUGCUCAUAUAGUGUUCAAACCAUUUCCAUUGUUGCCUUAAUUCUGGUUUGUUUGAUAUCUUAUUGCUGCGGUUAGUUUUGCCAUUUCAAUGAAUUCUGUUAAUUUGUUUAGCCAAUAUUCUUUUGUGAGGAUGUGAUUUCCUUUCCAGUAGGAGCCUUGCUGCGGCAGUAGCGUAUAAAAAAUAGUGUUUUCCUGUCUUGUGGUAUAUCCUUGCCCAGUAUACUCAAUAAAUAAGCCCCUGGGUUUUUUCCUAUAGAGAUUUUGAGCAUCUUUUUAAAUUCCUCUUUAAAUUCAACUCCCCAAAUUUUUAACUCUUCCACAGCCCCACCAUGAGUUCAUCACAGUACCCUCCACCUUCUUACAUUUCCAACAAAGACUGGAUUUUGACUUCCCUAUUUUGGCAAGCUUUGUGAAUUUAUUUCCUUCACCACACGGUCCGAGGGGAGUUUACAACAAUAUAAAAAUGCAACCUUGAAAUAAGUUAGGACAAUUUACAGUCGCAAGAAUAGGGUGGGCCUUCAAAUAGGUAGCAUGUGGUUCCUCCAGCCUAUCGGGAGAGGGACGUUCACCUGCAAAGAGGGACGCCUGCUAUGGAGACCCUCUCUUGAAGGUAGAGGGCCUCUUGCUCUGGCUGCCCUGCUAGCAGUGAGGGCAUAAAGGAGCUAUGGCCUCGGCCCAGUAUAUCUGAAGGAGCAUCUCCAGCCCCAUUGUUCUGCCCGGAUGCUGAGGUCCAGCUCCGAGGGCCUUCUGGCGGUUCCCUCACUGCGAGAAGCCAAGUUACAGAGAACCAGGCAGAGGGCCUUCUCGGUAGUGGCACCCGCCCUGUGGAACGCCCUCCCUUCAGAUGUCAAAGAGAAAAACAACUACUAGACUUUUAGAAGACACCUGAAGGCAGCCCUGUUUAGGGAAGCUUUUAAUGUUUGAUGCAUUACUGUAUUUUAAUAUUUGGUUGUGAGCUGCCCAGAGUGGCUGGGGAAGCCCAGCCAGAUGGGCAGGGUAAAAAUAAUAAAUUACAGUAGUACCUCGGGUUAAGUACUUAAUUCGUUCCGGAGGUCCGUUCUUAACCUGAAAGUGUUCUUAACCUGAAGCACCACUUUAGCUAAUGGGGCCUCCUGCUGCUGCUGCGCCACCGGAGCACGAUUUCUGUUCUCAUCCUGAAGCAAAGUUCUUAACCCGAGGCACUAUUUCUGGGUUAGCGGAGUCUGUAACCUGAAGCGUCUGUAACCCAAGGUACCGCUGUAUUAUUAUUAUUAUUAUUAUUAUUAUUAUUAUUAUUAUUAUUAUUAUUUAUUAUUAUUCUGGGGGAUUGCCAGGGGUGGAAGGCAAAGGUCUUUGGUUCCACCAGUAUGCACAGAAAGCCUUGGAACUGGGUGAGGAGAUUUCACCCCUCCCAUACCCAAGAAUCUCCUGAUGAUCUCCUGAUGGUCUCUGCUGACUCUCCAGAGAGGAGGAGGCGUGUCCUGCUAUCUACUUAUUCUGCUCAGCACCACAUCAAUCAGUCAGUGUGUCAGUGUGUGAGAGAGUCAGUCAGUCAGUGUAUCGGAGAGAGAGAGAGAGUUAGAGAUCGUAGAGAUAAGGUUGCUGCUAAGAGCAGCUGCAGACUCUCAGUGUAGCAUUGAUUUAUGCUUAGAAUAUAUUCAGCUCUGUAUAUAGUUUUGUAUCAUAGUUGUAGUUACAGAAUAAAAGGAAGAUAUUCUACAGAGCUGCUCUCCGAGUGGUUCAUACUCUGCAAGACUCUGCUGCGCAACGACUGUAUUAUUGAGACAGUGAAUCCGGUGCUCUCAGCUCUAAGCUGUGAGUCCACAGCACUGUGACCUGUUCCUGUGAGAAAGGAGGUCUCUGGCGGUGCUACCCAGCUCGCCUAGCCCAGUCGGGGUUGAGGUGCAUGAGUCCAGUUGGUGCACUGGCUCAAGGGCGAUGCUGACACUGGGGUGGUUGUUUUGCUUCCCUUUGAAAGGAAUGGGACUUCUUGCUGAGAUAAGGUAAAGGUAAAGGGACCCCUGACCAUUAGGUCCAGUCGUGAUCAACUCUGGGGUUGCGGCGCUCAUCUCACUUUAUUGGCCGAGGGAGCCGGCGUACAGCUUCCGGGUCAUGUGGCCAGCAUGACUAAGCCGCUUCUGGCGAACCAGAGCAGUGCACGGAAACGGCGUUUACCUUCCUGCCGGAGCAGUGCCUAUUUAUCUUCUUGCACUUUGACGUGCUUUCAAACUGCUAGGUGGGCAGGAGCAGGGGCCAAGGAACAGGAGCUAACCCCGUCACCGUGAUUUGAACCGCCGACCUUCUGAUUGGCAAGCCCUAGGCUCUGUGGUUUAACCCACAGUGCCACCCGCGUCCCCUUCUUGCUGAGAUAGCCCCCCCCCCUUACUGUCCUUUCGCAUCCAGGGAGGAAAGGAUUUAAAAGGGGGUGGAGUGGGGGCUCUGAGCAAAUUGACAUUUCAGCCAAUGAAGCAAUGAAGGCCGAGGAAAAGAAACCAGUGGAGUGCUGCCCCCAAAACUAUGAGGGAAUCAGUG